AUUUUAUCGCUCUCACGUAACGGCAGAUGGACCAUCGGUACUUUCCGAACCUGUAUCUCUAACAAACACUCCCAACAUUUGAUGAUAGAAAAAUGACACAAAGUAUUGUAUGGAAAGCUGAAAUGAAACAAUGUCAAGAAAAGAAAUUGAGAUGAAGGUUCCGUUGCCAUCUUGCAACCUCUGAAUCCACACUUACAGACCAGCAGAAUUAUCUAACGUUACCAACGUCAAUUCAGCAAAUUAACUAAUCUAUCUAAAUUAUGUGUUUCCGAAUGUAAUAAUUUUGAUAAUAUAUUAUUUGUAUGAAAGAUA
This is a long non-coding RNA of Anoplophora glabripennis (Asian longhorned beetle), 312 nucleotides long. RefSeq lists it as uncharacterized. The record is from RefSeq and is a predicted model, not a curated record. NCBI's taxonomy places the organism in Eukaryota, Metazoa, Arthropoda, Insecta, Coleoptera, Cerambycidae. The transcript is spliced from 2 exons.